CGCCCUUGGGUUCGAUUCCGGAGAGGGAGCCUUAAAAACGGCUACCACAUCUAAGGAAGGCAGCAGGCACGCAAAUUACCCAAUGACCGAAGGUCGAGGUAGUGACAAAAAAUAACGAUACGGGACUCAUCUGAGGCCCCGUAAUCGGAAUGAGUACACUUUAAAACCGUCCCCGAGGAUCUAUUGGAGGGCAAGUCUGGUGCCAGCAGCCGCGGUAAUUCCAGCUCCAAUAGCGUAUAUUAAAGUUGUUGUGGUUAAAAAGCUCGUAGUUGGAUCUCGGCGGUCUGAGGGCGGUUCGCUUGAUUGAGUGCUACUGCUCUAUAGGCCGUGGUUUUGCCAGAGGUCUCGGGGUGCUCUUAACCGAGUGUCCUGCGAUGCUGGCAGGUUUACUUUGAAAAAAUUAGAGUGCUCAAAGCAGGCUUUUACGCCUGAAUAUUCGUGCAUGGAAUAAUAGAAUAGGAAGUCGUUUCUAUUUUGUUGGUUUUCGGAAAUCGACUUAAUGAUUAAUAGGGACAGUCGGGGGCAUUUGUAUUCAAACGACAGAGGUGAAAUUCUUGGACCGUUUGAAGACAAACUACUGCGAAAGCAUUUGCCAAGAAUGUUUUCAUUAAUCAAGAACGAAAGUUAGAGGUUCGAAGGCGAUUAGAUACCGCCCUAGUUCUAACCAUAAACGAUGCCAGCUAGCGAUCUGCCGACGUUUUCUUUGUAGACUCGGCAGGAAGCUUCCGGGAAACCAAAGCAUUUGGGUUCCAGGGGAAGUAUGGUUGCAAAGCUGAAACUUA
Molecule: ribosomal RNA, 782 nt
Filed under: uncultured eukaryote
Lineage: Eukaryota
Description: SSU rRNA
Rfam family: Eukaryotic small subunit ribosomal RNA
Source: RNAcentral